Molecule: long non-coding RNA, 1861 nt
Filed under: Salmo salar (Atlantic salmon)
Lineage: Eukaryota; Metazoa; Chordata; Actinopteri; Salmoniformes; Salmonidae
Description: lncRNA (ENSSSAG00000098810.1)
Source: RNAcentral
AGAACCCCUUACAGUAUUAUAGACACUAUGUCCUGGGAUUUACUAUGUAGAAGAACCCCUUACAUAUUAUAGACACUAUGUCCUGGGAUUUACUAUGUAGAAGAACCCCUUACAGUAUUAUAGACACUAUGUCCUGGGAUUUACUAUGUAGAAGAACCCCUUACAGUAUUAUAGACACUAUGACCUGGGAUUUACUAUGGUCUAUGUAGAAGAACCCCUUACAGUCUAACAACUGUUGUUGUGUAGCAUCAUAGAGCAAAACAUGUCACAUGUUCGUGAGAGUGUCAGCUGUUCAGAUUUAGCUUUUAAUAGUUUGCAGCUCUGACCAAUCAAAACUCCAGAGACAUUUUUAAUAGUUUGAUGCUCUGACCAAUCGGACUCUAGAGACAUUUUCUAUACAGCUCCGGCUCAUCUCUCAUUGAUCAGACUAAUGGCUGGUAUCUAUGGAGACAUAUGAAAUAGACCAACCCAAUGGCACAUUCUCAAACACACACUGUUUAAACCCCCUAGAGUCGAUUUCUGCUUAGCCAGUGUAAUUAACAUUUAUAUAACCCCCAUCAAAAUCAGUCAGUUAAAGUUAGAGAUAUCUGAUACACAGUUAAAGUCGAAAGUUUACAUACACCUUAGCCAAAUAUAUUUAAACUCAGCUUUUCUGAGAAAUGUGUGCAGUGGUUUAAAAACGAGUUUUAAUGACUCCAACCUAGUAAGUGUACGUAAACUUCCGACUUCAACUGUAUUUUGCAAUUGGACGCGUUUCAAUCCACCGUAUCUGCCAAAUUCGCACUUCCGCAUCUCCGCUGAAAGAUGUUUGUCAGAUCAUGAGGACUGGCCACCCCCUCAUAGCCUGGUUCCUCUCUAGGUUUCUUCCUAGGUUCCUGGCCUUUCUAGGGAGUUUUUCCUAGCCACCCCCUCAUAGCCUGGUUCCUCUCUAGGUUUCUUCCUAGGUUCCUGGCCUUUCUAUGGAGUUUUUCCUAGCCACCCCCUCAUAGCCUGGUUCCUCUCUAGGUUUCUUCCUAGGUUCCUGGCCUUUCUAUGGAGUUUUUCCUAGCCACCGUGCUUCUACACCUGCAUUGCUUGCUGUUUGGGGUUUUAGGCUGAGUUUGUGUACAGCACUUUGAGACAUCAGCUGAUGUAAGAAGGGCUUUAUAAAAACAUUUGAUUGAUUGAUGAGUCAUCCUGAAAAUCCGUCUUCUUAGUAAAUCGUCUGUAGUGUCUGUUUUGCUCUACGACACCGCAAGAGUCUUUCGACUCAUCUUAAUCCAAUCUGUCAGCUUCUUUCUGUAGCGUCUGAACAGUUUUGGCUACACAUUAAUAUGACCCCCCCCUCCCCCCCUCCCCUCCCCUCCCCCCUCUGUGGAAAGGUGAGACUCUCACCAAUACAUGUUGUUUGUUUUGCUCUCGGACGCCCAUAGGCCUCACAAUACUCAUUUUGAAGGUUCCCCUGGUACCAGUUGUAAAAACAUUAAAUGGGAAGUAAACUGUAGACGCCGUGUCAUCUUGUAACUCUACAUCAAACAUAGUGAGCAUUAACGUUGACACAGUGUUUGUGACAUACGUGUUAUGCUUUGUGAACUGCGCAUUUGGACUCUCUUGCUUGUGUGACAUCAAAGGGGUAUUUAUGACAUCAGUGUUCAGGAAUGUGUUCGCUUCUAAAAAUGUCUUAAUAGUAUAAAGUAUAUUUUUGUAUUAUGUUUUUAUGUUUGAAUGUUGUACAUGUUAUGAAUUGUGUUUAUGCAGGACUUCCUUGAAAAAUAGGUAUUGUUCUCAAUUGGACUGCCUGUUAAAAUAUUAAAAUAAAGGUGACAUUUUAAAAACAAAAAUACUAUUUACUUGUCAAAAUACCUUUGAUGUAUAGAGGGAG